ACUUAUAAAGGAUAAAAGUCAUCCACUGGC
RNAcentral lists this transfer RNA (30 nucleotides) under Elgaria multicarinata. Its description in RNAcentral is "partial tRNA-Leu". Lineage: Eukaryota; Metazoa; Chordata; Lepidosauria; Squamata; Anguidae. The record is from RNAcentral.